RNAcentral lists this unclassified non-coding RNA (391 nucleotides) under soil metagenome. RNAcentral's name for it is "partial contains 5.8S ribosomal RNA, internal transcribed spacer 2, and large subunit ribosomal RNA". The stretch from base 1 to 122 matches the Rfam family "5.8S ribosomal RNA", at positions 35 to 154 of the family's 154-position model. The record is from RNAcentral.
GAUGAAGAACGCAGCGAAAUGCGAUACUUGGUGUGAAUUGCAGAAUCCCGUGAACCAUCGAGUCUUUGAACGCAAGUUGCGCCCGAAGCCAUUAGGCCGAGGGCACGCCUGCCUGGGCGUCACACGUCGUUGCCCCCCCAUCUACUCCUUCGGGAUUGCGGGGGGCGGAUGAUGGCCUCCCGUGCGCCUCGCCGCGCGGUUGGCAUAAAUGCCAAGUCCUCGGCGACGCACGCCACGACAAUCGGUGGUUGCGAAACCUCGGUUGCCCGUCGUGUGCGGUCGUCGCGCAUCGAGGGCUCGAAAAAAUUGCCGGGUUCCGGCUCGGCUUUCAACGCGACCCCAGGUCAGGCAGGGUUACCCGCUGAAUUUAAGCAUAUCAAUAAGCGGAGGA